CAGUUAACAGGUUGAGGAAUCAAAAGAAAGAACAAAGGGAUGAACAAACGGAUGAACAAAGGGGUGAACAAACGGAUGAACAAAAAAACAAUUUUGUUAUACCACUUAUUCAUAAAAAAUAUCGUAUAAAUAAAAAAAUGGAUUCUUACUUCCAUAGUGUAAAAGAAUUAAUAAAUGAAUUUACUAGUAUGUUUAUUACAUUAAAAAAAAUAGCACAAAUAUAUUGGUUAGCUCCAUUUUGGUUUACGCGUUGUAAUCUAUACAAUUGGUACCUCCCGACUUGGAAUAUUAUAGAGAAGACACAAAGUUUUCAAGCACAACAUCAUAAUAACGUAAAUUCGACCGCAUGUUAUAUCAACGAUGACAAUUAUGAAUGUUUCAAAAAUAGUCAAAACAAAAAACAUAGUAUUGAUUUGCAAUAUUAUAUAAAUAAGUAUGAUAACUAUGAAUAUGUAAGUACAAACUAUCCUCAGGACUAUUUAAAUGAUUAUAUGUUGUGUUUUCAGUUUACGCUGAAUGAGUUGUAUUUUAUUAAUAAGGGGUUACUACCUACUGGGGAAAAAGAGGCACAACAAGGUGAAUCGACCGACCAGGCUGACCAAGCUGACCAAGCUGAUCAAGCUGAUCAAGCUGACCAGGCUGACCUAGCUGACCAGGCUGACCUAGCUGACCAGGCUGACCAAGCUGACCAGGCUGACCUAGCUGACCAGGCUGACCAAGCUGAUCAAGCUGACCAGGCUGACCAAGCUGAACGGAAAAACCACUUUUUUAUGAAUAUCCUUCCGUGUGGCUCCUUCUAUUUAACAAUCCCAAUUAAACAAAAGACGUAUAUAAAAGUAAAAAAUGUGGAUGACCUAAAAAAUGAAGAUACUUUAUCUUUUUUUUACGAAAAUGUGAUUAUAAAUAUGAUGGUACAAAAAAAAAAAAAAAAAAAAAAAAAAGUAGUGAUGGUGGUGGUGGUGAUGAUGAUGAUGGUAUGAACAGUGACGACCUGAAGAGAAAAAAAAAAGUCGUUGAAGAAAAUAUAUGUCAAAAAAAAAGAAAUUUAAAAAAAAAUAAAAACCAAAAGGACUACUGGGUAUUAUUAACAAAAAUUGAUUUGCUUAUUAAAGAUGAAUGCUCAAAAAAAAAUAUUAUAUUUUUAUUUUUUGUUAUAAUUAAAAUUUAUUCAAAUUUAUACAUUUUUAAUGAAUUAUAUUGUUUAGAGCAUUCAUCAUUAAACAAAAUGUUUAACAUAAUUGAAAGUUCCUUAUUUCGGAUAAAAAUAGAAUAUCUUGGCGAUUAUAGCCUUGAUGGUAGUAGCAAUAUUAGUAGUUGCAAUAGAAGUAGUAGCAAUAGAAGUAGUAGCAAUAGCAGUAGUAGCAAUAUAAGUAGUAGCAAUAUAAGUAGUAGCAAUAUAAGUAGUAGCAAUAGCAGUAAUGGUACUAAAAGACUAACAACUUGUGUGAUAAACCUAGACAUAUUUAAUGACCAACUCCCAACGAAAGAUGAUAACCAGUACUUAAAUAUGCUAAACGAUCAGGAUGAAAAAAAAAAAUACUCUACAAAAGUAGAACAGUUCGAGCUUGCACAGAAAGACGAGCGGGCUACAGACGUCGGUAUAGGUGAUAAUAUGGGUAGUAGUGCUAAUACGGAUACAGAUAGUAGUAGUACAGACCAAAACAAAAAGAACCAACUGUACUCCAAUUUCAAACACAAUAACUCAACAAAUUACUCAAACAUAAUUUUAGAUAACAUUUUAUUUAUCAACAUUUUAUUUACAUGUCCAAUUAAUGUUAUUAAUAAAAUAUACAUAAAAGAAAAAAAAAAAUUAUAUUUGUAUUUAAAAAAAUGUAAAAGCAUUUUUAACCUCUUAAAACUAAUAUGUUUAACUUUUGAAUUUCACAAACAUGUAUAUACUUUGAUAAAUGAAACAAAUGACCAUUUAAAUAAAAUAAAUUUGUUAAAUCCAAUAAACGAUUUCAAAUAUUUUGAUUUAUUUUAUGAAAAUAUUUUUACAAUUAGCAUAACGUUUAAUGAUUUUCAAAUCGAUGGCUCUAGUUUAUGUUUUUUUAUGAUGUUGCAACCAGAGGAUUAUUCGAGAGUAAUUGUUAUUCCACACUACACAAAGUGGGGUAUGGGUAUAGGUAAAACAAAUAAGAGUAACCUAGCAGUGAAGUCGUUUUAUAAAAAUAUGAAAAACAAAAAUUCUUUCGAUCUUUUUAGUAAUUAUGGCGAUUAUGAUGGCGAUUAUGAUGGCGAUUAUGAUGGCGACUAUGAUGGUGAUUAUGAUGGUACAGGAAUGAACAAGGGUGUGGGAACAAACUUCAAAAAAACUUUUUUAUUUUAUAACAACCAAAAUAAACAGUCCGAAUUAAACAACAACGGUCAUAUGAUAAUUGACCAUUUGAGUGAAGCAAAACUGUUUAUUUAUUUAUUUUUAAAAUUUUUUAAUAUAUUAAAUAGUGACGACACAACGAAUGUAAAAUAUUGUACGAUAAAUGUUAGUAUUAAAAAUAGUUUUGAUAAUAGUAAUGGUCCCGCAACAGCUGAUUUGGAUGAAGGCGUUGUCAAUGAUAAGUUAUUUCAGCAACAUAACGGAUUUUUAAAUAAUGAAGAAAUGAAAAUAAUAAGCAGUAGCAAUGGAGACGGAAACGAAGAAAAAAACGGAAACGAAGAAAAAAACGGAAACGAAAAAAACGGAAACGAAAAAAACGGAAACGAAAAAAACGAAAACGAAAAAAAAAACGAAAAAAAAAACGAAAAAAAAAACGAAAACGAUUUUGUAAUGAAGCUAAAACUAUUCGAAGAUUAUGACAUGUUUUUUAAUAACGUAAAAUAUCUAUUAAAAUAUAUGAACAAAAUAAUAUUAGUACAUUCAAAUUUUCAUAUCCCGUUUUUUCUUUCAACCGUAUUAUGCCCAUUUAUUGAAUUUUUGCGAACGGCAAAAGUAUGGUUUCUUUUAUUUGAUUGUUUAAAAAUGAAUUAUACCAACAUAACUUUAAAAAGGGCAACAAAUAUAAAUAAUGCUUUUGGGUAUAUAACAGCAUUAAAAAAGAAAAAUAAAAUAUUAAAUGAUGGUGACAUCGAUUUAAAAGGCAAUGAACAUAAAGGCAUAAUCCUAAAAAAAGAACAAGUCACACAAGAUGAACAAACUGUAGUUACAGUCAACCAAGUGCAGAUGAACAACGAAAGUAACAAAACUAAAAAUGGUAGUUGUAAUAGUGGUAGUGGUGGUAUUACUAGUAAUCACAGUGAUACGUGCGAUGAUAUAUGUAUACAUAUGGUCUGGUUUUUGUAUAUUUUUAAAACAUCACGUAUGAUAAUGCUACAAGAGCUUAAAAAAAUAAACCACAAAAGAAAACGUAACAUAAUUAUGCUAAGUGGUUGUGAUUGUAACUACCACCGCGUUGGUAAUUGUGAGGAACUUGACUUUGUAUGUGCUAGCAGUAGUAGCAGUCGUAGUAGUAGUAGUAGUAGUAGUAGCAACAGAAGCCGUAGUAGCAGUAGCAGCGACAGAAGCCGUAGUAGCAGUAGCAGCAACAGAAGCCGUAGUAGCAGCAGAAGUAGUAACGAAAGAAUAAAAAAAAAAAUUCGAGUUGAUGAUUUAAAUGAAAAGGACAGCAGUAAGAACGAUAAGUCGGUCGAAAAGGAUGACAUUAAACACAAUAAUAUUAUAAUGACCACCAAAAUAAAAGAAGAAGAAAAAACUGAAUGCAUAACUAAUAACAAUAAAACAAACGAAGAAAUGGUAUACAAUGGUUUAUUACCAAAUGGAUAUAUUGAGAGUACAAAUAAAAUAACUAGAGAACAAUUAAUAUAUAUGAUAAAUGCUUAUACUUAUAACAAUAAUGAUAUAUUUUUAAAUGAACAUAAACCAACAGAUAUAAUUUUAUUUAAAAAAAAAAAAAAAAUGUUUACACGGUAUUAUAUUUUACAACGUUGGACUAAAGAAAAAAUGUUUAAGUUGAGAAAGAGGAAAGGGGUAAGUGGAAGUGGUAGUAUUACAUAUGCUAAUGCAAAUGGUAGUGAACGUAAGAGUAGAGGUGAAAAUAGUAAGUAUCAGUCAAAACAAACAGGAACUCGCAAUCUAAUUAUACACAUGGAGAAAAAAAAAAAAAAAAAAAAAAAAACAUCCCCAAAAAACAGGUAUAAUAAUAUAACAAAUAAUUGUAAUAUGAAUUGUGUUUUACAUUCAAUUAGCAUUUACUACGAAAAUGUUGGUGAAACGGUAGAUGAAAAAGAUACUUGGUUUUACUGUAAUGCGAAACAUAAUUUAAAAAAAAACGGUAAAGAUAUUAAUCAUGAAGCAGUAAAUGGUGCAGAAAAAAAAAAAAAUCGUUUUUUAUUAGCACAGACAAAUAUGCUAAAAAAUGUGAGUAAAUUAAAUUCAGCUUUAAAUACUAUUUAUAAAUAUAUAAAAAUAUGGUUUUUAAAAAUGGAUUUUAAUAAUAUUCGAACUUUUUUUUUAUUACUUAAUGAAAUAAUUAAUGAUAAAAAAAGUAUAUGUGAGUUAAGCUCACUGCUGUUUAAUUGUAUUUUAUCAUAUUAUGAUCAUUUAAAUUUUUGGAUUUCACAAAAAUUUACAAACUUGUCUGUCCCCUUUAUCGAAUUAAUGUUUAUGCCAAGCGAACGUAAGGACGUAUCUAGUAGUAACACCAUAAGUAGUGACGUGUGUACUAAAAAAGAAAAAUUAUUAAAACAGGAAAAUUUAUUAAAACAGGAAAAGUUAUUAAAACAGGAAAAGUUACUAAAACAGGAAAAGUUAUUAAAAAAGGAAAAGUUAUUAAAAGAGGAAAAGUUAUUAAAAGAGGAAAAGUUAUUAAAAGAGGAAAAGUUAUUAAAAGAGGAAAAGUUAUUAAAAGAGGAAAAGUUAUUAAAAGAGGAAAAGUUAUUAAAAGAGGAAAAGUUAUUAAAAGAGGAAAAGUUAUUAAAAGAGGAAAAGUUAUUAAAAGAGGAAAAGUUAUUAAAAGAG
This is a long non-coding RNA of Piliocolobus tephrosceles (Ugandan red Colobus), 4954 nucleotides long. NCBI's taxonomy places the organism in Eukaryota, Metazoa, Chordata, Mammalia, Primates, Cercopithecidae. The record is from Ensembl.